Molecule: transfer RNA, 69 nt
Filed under: Salmo salar (Atlantic salmon)
Lineage: Eukaryota; Metazoa; Chordata; Actinopteri; Salmoniformes; Salmonidae
Rfam family: tRNA
About the family: Transfer RNA (tRNA) molecules are approximately 80 nucleotides in length. Their secondary structure includes four short double-helical elements and three loops (D, anti-codon, and T loops).
Source: Rfam by way of RNAcentral
GUGGCUGAGUGGUUAAGGCGAUGGACUCCUAAUCCUUUGUGCUGUGCAUGUAUGGGUUUGAAUCCCAUC